UUAAAGCUGCGUUGUUCGUAUCAUAUUAAGUUUUAACCUUUAACUGUAAACAGGGAGUUUUAUAUUGAAGAUGGAAUGGCGAGCGUCACACUGCGGUGAAUGAUGAUAUACAGGAUAUCUUUUGCGAACACCCACUUUGAGGAGUGGUGGUUUAAAACUUUCUAUAAUUACUACGGCAAGGCGGCUUUGCC
RNAcentral lists this non-coding RNA (191 nucleotides) under Ureibacillus composti. Its description in RNAcentral is "6S RNA". It matches the Rfam family "6S / SsrS RNA". Rfam says of the family: E. coli 6S RNA was the first non coding RNA to be sequenced, but its function was unknown until recently. It consists of 184 nucleotides that fold into an extended hairpin structure with a large single-stranded internal bulge. RNAcentral also lists the same sequence under 1 other name. Lineage: Bacteria; Bacillati; Bacillota; Bacilli; Caryophanales; Caryophanaceae. The record is from RNAcentral.